Molecule: ribosomal RNA, 214 nt
Filed under: Ochromonas sp. CCMP1393
Lineage: Eukaryota; Chrysophyceae; Chromulinales; Chromulinaceae
Description: partial Bacterial large subunit ribosomal RNA
Rfam family: Bacterial large subunit ribosomal RNA
Source: RNAcentral
UCGGUACCAAAUCGAGGCAAACUCUGAAUACUAAGUGAACAGUUAACCAGUAAGACUGUGGGGGAUAAGCUUCAUAGUCAAGAGGGAAACAGCCCAGAUCACCAGUUAAGGCCCCUAAAUAAUUAUUAAGUGGUAAAGGAGGUGGGAAGACUCAGACAGCCAGGAGGUUUGCUUAGAAGCAGCAAUCCUUUAAAGAGUGCGUAAUAGCUCACUG